UGGGGAAUAUUGGACAAUGGGCGCAAGCCUGAUCCAGCCAUGCCGCGUGAGUGAUGACGGCCUUAGGGUUGUAAAGCUCUUUCGCUCGGGACGAUAAUGACGGUACCGAGAUAAGAAGCCCCGGCUAACUUCGUGCCAGCAGCCGCGGUAAUACGAAGGGGGCUAGCGUUGUUCGGAAUUACUGGGCGUAAAGCGCGUGUAGGCGGGUCCUUAAGUCAGGGGUGAAAUGCCAAGGCUCAACCUUGGAACUGCCUUUGAUACUGGGGACCUUGAGUCCGGGAGAGGUGAGUGGAACUGCGAGUGUAGAGGUGAAAUUCGUAGAUAUUCGCAAGAACACCAGUGGCGAAGGCGGCUCACUGGCCCGGAACUGACGCUGAGACGCGAAAGCGUGGGGAGCAAACAGGAUUAGAUACCCUGGUAGUCCACGCUGUAAACGAUGGAUGCUAGCCGUUGGGGAGCUUGCUCUUCAGUGGCGCAGCUAACGCUUUAAGCAUCCCGCCUGGGGAGUACGGUCGCAAGA
RNAcentral lists this ribosomal RNA (520 nucleotides) under uncultured bacterium. Its description in RNAcentral is "bacterial SSU rRNA". It matches the Rfam family "Bacterial small subunit ribosomal RNA", at positions 355 to 893 of the family's 1533-position model. The record is from RNAcentral.